Molecule: ribosomal RNA, 497 nt
Filed under: uncultured bacterium
Lineage: Bacteria
Description: partial 16S ribosomal RNA
Rfam family: Bacterial small subunit ribosomal RNA
Source: RNAcentral
GAUGAACGCUGGCGGCGUGCCUAAUACAUGCAAGUCGAGCGAACGGACGAGAAGCUUGCUUCUCUGAUGUUAGCGGCGGACGGGUGAGUAACACGUGGAUAACCUACCUAUAAGACUGGGAUAACUUCGGGAAACCGGAGCUAAUACCGGAUAAUAUUUUGAACCGCAUGGUUCAAAGGUGAAAGACGGUCUUGCGGUCACUUAUAGAUGGAUCCGCGCUGCAUUAGCUAGUUGGUAAGGUAACGGCUUACCAAGGCAAGGAUGCAUAGCCGACCUGAGAGGGUGAUCGGCCACACUGGAACUGAGACACGGUCCAGACUCCUACGGGAGGCAGCAGUAGGUAAUCUUCCGCAAUGGGCGAAAGCCUGACGGAGCAACGCCGCGUGAGUGAUGAAGGUCUUCGGAUCGUAAAACUCUGUUAUUAGGGAAGAACAUAUGUGUAAGUAACUGUGCACAUCUUGACGGUACCUAAUCAGAAAGCCACGGCUAACUACGUG